The sequence is a ribosomal RNA, 436 nucleotides long. It matches the Rfam family "Bacterial small subunit ribosomal RNA", at positions 341 to 792 of the family's 1533-position model.
ACGGGAGGCAGCAGUGGGGAAUAUUGGGCAAUGGGCGAAAGCCUGACCCAGCAACGCCGCGUGAAGGAAGAAGGUCUUCGGAUUGUAAACUUCUUUUAUGAGGGACGAAGGACGUGACGGUACCUCAUGAAUAAGCCACGGCUAACUACGUGCCAGCAGCCGCGGUAAUACGUAGGUGGCAAGCGUUAUCCGGAUUUAUUGGGUUUAAAGGGAGCGCAGGCGGAGAUGUAAGCCAGCCGUUAAAUCGUGGGGCUCAACCCCAUGCUGCGGUUGGAACUGCAUCCCUUGAGUGCACGAGAGGAUGGUGGAAUUCGUGGUGUAGCGGUGAAAUGCAUAGAUAUCACGAAGAACUCCGAUUGCGAAGGCAGCCAUCUGGCGUGUUACUGACGCUCAUGCUCGAAGGUGCGGGUAUCAAACAGGAUUAGAUACCCUGGUA